Molecule: ribosomal RNA, 445 nt
Filed under: uncultured bacterium
Lineage: Bacteria
Description: bacterial SSU rRNA
Rfam family: Bacterial small subunit ribosomal RNA
Source: RNAcentral
AACGAACGCUGGCGGCAUGCCUAACACAUGCAAGUCGAACGAGGCCUUCGGGCUUAGUGGCGCACGGGUGCGUAACGCGUGGGAAUCUGCCCUUGGGUUCGGAAUAACAGUUGGAAAUGACUGCUAAUACCGAAUGAUGUCUUCGGACCAAAGAUUUAUCGCCCAAGGAUGAGCCCGCGUCGGAUUAGCUAGUUGGUGAGGUAAAGGCUCACCAAGGCGACGAUCCGUAGCUGGUCUGAGAGGAUGAUCAGCCACACUGGGACUGAGACACGGCCCAGACUCCUACGGGAGGCAGCAGUGGGAAUAUUGGGACAAUGGGCGAAAGCCUGAUCCAGCAAUGCCGCGUGAGUGAUGAAGGCCUUAGGGUUGUAAAGCUCUUUUUACCCGGGAUGAUAAUGACAGUACCGGGAGAAUAAGCCCCGGCUAACGUCCGUGCCAGCAGCCG